Molecule: ribosomal RNA, 465 nt
Filed under: uncultured bacterium
Lineage: Bacteria
Description: partial 16S ribosomal RNA
Rfam family: Bacterial small subunit ribosomal RNA
Source: RNAcentral
CCUACGGGAGGCUGCAGUGGGGAAUAUUGCGCAAUGGGCGAAAGCCUGACGCAGCGACGCCGCGUGAGGGAUGAAGGUCUUCGGAUCGUAAACCUCUGUCAGCAGGGAAGAACGGUCACUGUGCUAAUCAGCAGUGAAUUGACGGUACCUGCAAAGGAAGAACCGGCUAACUCCGGGCCAGCCGCGGCGGUAAUACGGAGGGUGCGAGCGUUAAUCGGAAUUACUGGGCGUAAAGCGAUCGUAGGCGGUAUGUCAAGUCAAGGGGGAAAUCCCCGCGCUCAACGUGGGAACUGCCUUUGAAAAUGGCAACCUGGAGUGUGUGAGAGGAUAGUGGAAUUCCAGGUGUAGGAGUGAAAUCCGUAGAUAUCUGGAGGAACAUCAGUGGCGAAGGCGACUAUCUGGCACAUAACUGACGCUGAGGAGCGAAAGCGUGGGUAGCAAACAGGAUUAGAUACCCGAGUAGUC